GUAGCUCAGUCGGUAGAGUGUUUGCCUAGCACACAGAAGGCCCUAGGUUCAGUUCCUGGC
Molecule: transfer RNA, 60 nt
Filed under: Mesocricetus auratus (golden hamster)
Lineage: Eukaryota; Metazoa; Chordata; Mammalia; Rodentia; Cricetidae
Rfam family: tRNA
About the family: Transfer RNA (tRNA) molecules are approximately 80 nucleotides in length. Their secondary structure includes four short double-helical elements and three loops (D, anti-codon, and T loops).
Source: Rfam by way of RNAcentral